Long non-coding RNA from Dermacentor albipictus, 611 nucleotides. RefSeq lists it as uncharacterized. The record is from RefSeq and is a predicted model, not a curated record. Lineage: Eukaryota; Metazoa; Arthropoda; Arachnida; Ixodida; Ixodidae.
UAGGCACAAUAGUGAAACUGGCGAAGUGUCAAAGUGUCACAUGUAAAUUCAGCGCGCGAUACAUGCUGAGGUUUUACGUGCGAUCCGUCGUGCGAUGCGUCGGAGUUUGACUUGCCGCAUACCAUGAUUCGCGACACAUGGACUGCUGUCAAGAUGACAUUGGAUGCUAUGGCCUCCCGAAAAUGCACUUGGCUGACCCCCUCUGGCAGUUGCUACAGGUUGUGUGCACACUAUGGAGGUACGGGGCUUUUCUCGUGAUCAAGUUGCUGAGUGCAGUGCGAGGAGGACGGAGCAGCACUGUGGAGUUGAAGUCGUCGCAUCUGCAGAUUGCUGUCAAGAUAAGCAUCAAGGCCCUCCAGCUGUCAAGCUGCAACUACGAAAAGUGACAAGUCACAUGAGGGACUCCGUCACCACUGUAACUUCUGUGACUAUAAGACUGAUAGUAUGUCUCAUCUGAAAGGACACACUAUGCUCCAUACAGGCGAGCGGCCGUUUGAAUGCCAUUUGUGCCCUCAGAGAUUCUCACGAAAGUACGAUCUCAAGGUACACUUGCGUACUCACAGAGGGGAGAGGCCAUUUCAGUGCCCUUCAUGCCUUCGGAGCUUCCAACA